Molecule: long non-coding RNA, 1512 nt
Organism: Oncorhynchus tshawytscha (Chinook salmon)
Lineage: Eukaryota; Metazoa; Chordata; Actinopteri; Salmoniformes; Salmonidae
Source: Ensembl
CUCUGUAGGCCCUGGUCUAAUGUAGUGCUCUAUAGAGCCCUAUAGGCCCUGGUCUAAUGUAGUGCUCUAUAGAGCCCUAUAGGCCCUGGUCUAAUGUAGUGCUCUAUAGAGCCCUAUAGGCCCUGGUCUAAUGUAGUGCACUAUAGAGCCCUAUAGGCCCUGGUCUAAUGUAGUGCCCUAAAGGCCCUGGUCUAAUGUAGUGCUCUAUAGUGCCCUAUAGGCCCUGGUCUAUUUUAGUGCUCUAUAGAGCCCUAUAGGCCCUGGUCUAAUGUAGUGCUCUAUAGUGCCCUAUAGGCCCUGGUCUAAUGUAGUGCUCUGUAGGCCCUGGUCUAAUGUAGUGCUCUAUAGAGCCCUAUAGGCCCUGGUCUAAUGUAGUGCUCUAUAGAGCCCUAUAGGCCCUGGUCUAAUGUAGUGCACUAUAGAGCCCUAUAGGCCCUGGUCUAAUGUAGUGCCCUAAAGGCCCUGGUCUAAUGUAGUGCUCUAUAGGCCCUGGUCUAAUGUAGUGCUCUAUAGUGCCCUAUAGGCCCUGGUCUAAUGUAGUGCUCUAUGGAGCCCUAUAGGCCCUGGUCUAAUGUAGUGCCCUAUAGGCCCUGGUCUAAUGUAGUGCCCUAUAGGCCCUGGUCUAAUGUAGUGCCAUAUAGGCCCUGGUCUAAUGUAGUGCACUAUAGAGCCCUAAAGGCCCUGGUCUAAUGUAGUGCUCUAUAGAGCCCUAUAGCCCCUGGUCUAAUGUAGUGCCCUAAAGGCCCUGGUCUAAUGUAGUGCUCUAUAGGCCCUGGUCUAAUGUAGUGCUCUAUAGAGCCCUAUAGGCCCUGGUCUAAUGUAGUGCUCUAUAGGCCCUGGUCUAAUGUAGUGCUCUAUAGUGCCCUAUAGGCCCUGGUCUAAUGUAGUGCUCUAUAGAGCCCUAUAGGCCCUGGUCUAAUGUAGUGCUCUGUAGGCCCUGGUCUAAUGUAGUGCUCUAUAGAGCCCUAUAGGCCCUGGUCUAAUGUAGUGCUCUAUAGAGCCCUAUAGGCCCUGGUCUAAUGUACUGCCAUAUAGGCCCUGGUCUAAUGUAGUGCACUAUAGAGCCCUAAAGGCCCUGGUCUAAUGUAGUGCUCUAUAGAGCCCUAUAGGCCCUGGUCUAAUGUAGUGCCCUAAAGGCCCUGGUCUAAUGUAGUGCUCUAUAGGCCCUGGUCUAAUGUAGUGCCCUAAAGGCCCUGGUCUAAUGUAGUGCUCUAUAGGCCCUGGUCUAAUGUAGUGCUCUAUAGAGCCCUAUAGGCCCUGGUCUAAUGUAGUGCUCUAUAGGCCCUGGUCUAAUGUAGUGCUCUAUAGAGCCCUAUAGGCCCUGGUCUAAUGUAGUGCUCUAUGGAGCCCUAUAGGCCCUGGUCUAAUGUAGUGCUCUAUGGAGCCCUAUAGGCCCUGGUCUAAUGUAGUGCUCUGGUCUAAUGUAGUGCUCUAUAGAGCCCUAUAGGCCCUGGUCUAAUGUAGUGCACUAUAUGGGGAAUAGGGUGCCAUUUGAAACACCAUCUUUCUCUG